UGCGGCUGGAUCUCCUUCAGUGCAAUCUUCGGGUGCCCAAUGAUCGCCGAGCGCGGGCCGCUGAUGGUCUCAAAUCCGGCGAGUGGCUGCGACGCGGUCGGCUGGGUCUUGAUGUCCGCGAGGAUGGUCAGGUUGUUGUUGAGGUGCGCUCGCCCCGCGAACAGGAACUUCGCCAGCUCGGGAGCCCAGACGUCCUGCUGCUCCAGCUUGCCGAAUGGGGAAACCCGG
RNAcentral lists this unclassified non-coding RNA (228 nucleotides) under uncultured bacterium. RNAcentral's name for it is "partial 16S-23S ribosomal RNA intergenic spacer". The record is from RNAcentral.